Molecule: ribosomal RNA, 1343 nt
Filed under: uncultured bacterium
Lineage: Bacteria
Description: 16S ribosomal RNA
Rfam family: Bacterial small subunit ribosomal RNA
Source: RNAcentral
GACGAACGCUGGCGGCGUGCUUAACACAUGCAAGUCGAACGGAAAGGCCCUGCUUUUGUGGGGUGCUCGAGUGGCGAACGGGUGAGUAACACGUGAGUAACCUGCCCUUGACUUUGGGAUAACUUCAGGAAACUGGGGCUAAUACCGGAUAGGAGCUCCUGCUGCAUGGUGGGGGUUGGAAAGUUUCGGCGGUUGGGGAUGGACUCGCGGCUUAUCAGCUUGUUGGUGGGGUAGUGGCUUACCAAGGCUUUGACGGGUAGCCGGCCUGAGAGGGUGACCGGCCACAUUGGGACUGAGAUACGGCCCAGACUCCUACGGGAGGCAGCAGUGGGGAAUAUUGCACAAUGGGCGGAAGCCUGAUGCAGCAACGCCGCGUGCGGGAUGACGGCCUUCGGGUUGUAAACCGCUUUCGCCUGUGACGAAGCGUGAGUGACGGUAAUGGGUAAAGAAGCACCGGCUAACUACGUGCCAGCAGCCGCGGUGAUACGUAGGGUGCGAGCGUUGUCCGGAUUUAUUGGGCGUAAAGGGCUCGUAGGUGGUUGAUCGCGUCGGAAGUGUAAUCUUGGGGCUUAACCCUGAGCGUGCUUUCGAUACGGGUUGACUUGAGGAAGGUAGGGGAGAAUGGAAUUCCUGGUGGAGCGGUGGAAUGCGCAGAUAUCAGGAGGAACACCAGUGGCGAAGGCGGUUCUCUGGGCCUUUCCUGACGCUGAGGAGCGAAAGCGUGGGGAGCGAACAGGCUUAGAUACCCUGGUAGUCCACGCUGUAAACGGUGGGUACUAGGUGUGGGGUCCAUUCCACGGGUUCCGUGCCGUAGCUAACGCUUUAAGUACCCCGCCUGGGGAGUACGGCCGCAAGGCUAAAACUCAAAGGAAUUGGCGGGGCCCCGCACAAGCGGCGGAGCAUGCGGAUUAAUUCGAUGCAACGCGUAGAACCUUACCUGGGUUUGACAUGGAUCGGGAGUGCUCAGAGAUGGGUGUGCCUCUUUUGGGGUCGGUUCACAGGUGGUGCAUGGCUGUCGUCAGCUCGUGUCGUGAGAUGUUGGGUUAAGUCCCGCAACGAGCGCAACCCUUGUUCACUGUUGCCAGCACGUUAUGGUGGGGACUCAGUGGAGACCGCCGGGGUCAACUCGGAGGAAGGUGGGGAUGACGUCAAGUCAUCAUGCCCCUUAUGUCCAGGGCUUCACGCAUGCUACAAUGGCUGGUACAGAGAGUGGCGAGCCUGUGAGGGUGAGCGAAUCUCGGAAAGCCGGUCUCAGUUCGGAUUGGGGUCUGCAACUCGACCUCAUGAAGUCGGAGUCGCUAGUAAUCGCAGAUCAGCAACGCUGCGGUGAAUACGUUCCCGGG